Molecule: ribosomal RNA, 492 nt
Filed under: uncultured bacterium
Lineage: Bacteria
Description: partial 16S ribosomal RNA
Rfam family: Bacterial small subunit ribosomal RNA
Source: RNAcentral
AGUGAACGCUGGCGGUAGGCCUAACACAUGCAAGUCGAACGGCAGCACAGUAAGAGCUUGCUCUUACGGGUGGCGAGUGGCGGACGGGUGAGGAAUACAUCGGAAUCUACUUUUUCGUGGGGGAUAACGUAGGGAAACUUACGCUAAUACCGCAUACGACCUACGGGUGAAAGCAGGGGAUCUUCGGACUUUGCGCGAUGGAAUGAGCCGAUGUCGGAUUAGCUAGUUGGCGGGGUAAAGGCCCACCAAGGCGACGAUCCGUAGCUGGUCUGAGAGGAUGUUCAGCCACACUGGAACUGAGACACGGUCCAGACUCCUACGGGAUGCAGCAGUGGGGAAUAUUAGACAAUGGGCGCAAGCCUAAUCCAGCCAUACCGCGUGGGUUAAGAAGGCCUUCGGGUUGUAAAGCCCUUUUGUUGGGAAAGAAAAGCAUCCGGUUAAUACCCCGCUGUUCUGACGGUACCCAAAGAAUAAGCACCGGCUAACUUCGUG